Molecule: non-coding RNA, 1103 nt
Organism: Malus domestica (apple)
Lineage: Eukaryota; Viridiplantae; Streptophyta; Magnoliopsida; Rosales; Rosaceae
Source: RefSeq, a predicted model, not a curated record
UGUCAUUUUUCCUCAGAUUUCUUUUCCCUUGGAUUUUCUUGGGAAACAAACAGAAAAUAUGGAAGGAGAGGAGCUGCGUUGUUCCGAAGCAGACACGGUCGAUCUUCUGAAUCAAUUCGAAUGUAUCUUGGAAUCCGAUCCCCAAAUAGAUGAAGUGGGAUUUCUUCACCCGUCCCAGUUUUCCAAGCUGAAUAAAGAGGCAGGCCAUUCCUCACCCUCAUCUGAUGACAGUACUGUGCUGCGCUCAGUUGAUGGCAACUCAGUUUUUUGGAAUAGGGAUCAUAAGUUGGGGAUUUCAACACAAGUUCUUUUUCCGUUAUAUGAGGCUGCUAAGCAUGCGUUUAUGGCAGGAAGUAGACAAUAUAAGGCACUUAACAGCAAAUCAGAUGUAUCUGGGGAUGAGAAGUCUUUGUAUGUGUCAUUAUCUUUGGAUAAUAGUUUUGAAAGUGACGUCAUGAAGCAUAGCAGGGCACUUUUGUUGCUAAGUAGUGAUUUCGGCACUGCAUGGCAUUCCAGUCGAGGAAAUUGUUGGAUACUUCUGCUAAUUGGAUCAACGGAAGCGAUAGCCAGUGAUUGGUGGUAUCUUUUGGCAGGAUUACAAGGACUUUGUUGUGGAUGGGAUUCAAACAGAACCUUUCAACUUGAUUAACGAGCAGAGGGAAGAAGGUUAUUUUAAUGCAGAUGGAAAGUAUAUUACAUAUGCCAUUAAAAAUGAAGUCAAGAGCAUAAAAUAUUUUUUUAUACAGAAGCUUUCAUCUCUCUGAUUAAAUUCAGUUGAAUUAAGUAAUUCAGUCGAUUACUUAAUUCAGUAAAAGAGACAACCAAAGAACAACGUGGAGGUGGAGUCAAAUACAAAAUCAUAGAAUCAAAAACUAAGGUAAUCUUUAUGCAUUUCGUUUGAUUUGUUUGAAUAGGAUGAUUUAUAACUGUUUCAGUAUUAUGUUUCUUCGUAUGCAGAUUACCAUAUGUAUUUGAGAGCACAGCUGAUGUAAGUUCUCUCUUUAUGCCUCUAUCUCUCUGUGCAUCGAUCUGUUUUCUGGCAAUUUUAUUCUUCUGUAUGCAUUAUGUUUAUCCUGAACCAAAGGUUCCUAAUCUUUUAUUUA